Molecule: ribosomal RNA, 1346 nt
Filed under: uncultured bacterium
Lineage: Bacteria
Description: partial 16S ribosomal RNA
Rfam family: Bacterial small subunit ribosomal RNA
Source: RNAcentral
GACGAACGCUGGCGGCGUGCUUAACACAUGCAAGUCGAACGGAAAGGCCCUGCUUUUGUGGGGUGCUCGAGUGGCGAACGGGUGAGUAACACGUGAGUAACCUGCCCUUGACUUUGGGAUAACUUCAGGAAACUGGGGCUAAUACCGGAUAGGAGCUCCUGCUGCAUGGUGGGGGUUGGAAAGUUUCGGCGGUUGGGGAUGGACUCGCGGCUUAUCAGCUUGUUGGUGGGGUAGUGGCUUACCAAGGCUUUGACGGGUAGCCGGCCUGAGAGGGUGACCGGCCACAUUGGGACUGAGAUACGGCCCAGACUCCUACGGGAGGCAGCAGUGGGGAAUAUUGCACAAUGGGCGGAAGCCUGAUGCAGCAACGCCGCGUGCGGGAUGACGGCCUUCGGGUUGUAAACCGCUUUCGCCUGUGACGAAGCGUGAGUGACGGUAAUGGGUAAAGAAGCACCGGCUAACUACGUGCCAGCAGCCGCGGUGAUACGUAGGGUGCGAGCGUUGUCCGGAUUUAUUGGGCGUAAAGGGCUCGUAGGUGGUUGAUCGCGUCGGAAGUGUAAUCUUGGGGCUUAACCCUGAGCGUGCUUUCGAUACGGGUUGACUUGAGGAAGGUAGGGGAGAAUGGAAUUCCUGGUGGAGCGGUGGAAUGCGCAGAUAUCAGGAGGAACGCCAGUGGCGAAGGCGGUUCUCUGGGCCUUUCCUGACGCUGAGGAGCGAAAGCGUGGGGAGCGAACAGGCUUAGAUACCCUGGUAGUCCACGCUGUAAACGGUGGGUACUAGGCGUGGGGUCCAUUCCACGGGUUCCGUGCCGUAGCUAACGCUUUAAGUACCCCGCCUGGGGAGUACGGCCGCAAGGCUAAAACUCAAAGGAAUUGACGGGGCCCCGCACAAGCGGCGGAGCAUGCGGAUUAAUUCGAUGCAACGCGUAGAACCUUACCUGGGUUUGACAUGGAUCGGGAGUGCUCAGAGAUGGGUGUGCCUCUUUUGGGGUCGGUUCACAGGUGGUGCAUGGCUGUCGUCAGCUCGUGUCGUGAGAUGUUGGGUUAAGUCCCGCAACGAGCGCAACCCUUGUUCACUGUUGCCAGCACGUUAUGGUGGGGACUCAGUGGAGACCGCCGGGGUCAACUCGGAGGAAGGUGGGGAUGACGUCAAGUCAUCAUGCCCCUUAUGUCCAGGGCUUCACGCAUGCUACAAUGGCUGGUACAGAGAGUGGCGAGCCUGUGAGGGUGAGCGAAUCUCGGAAAGCCGGUCUCAGUUCGGAUUGGGGUCUGCAACUCGACCUCAUGAAGUCGGAGUCGCUAGUAAUCGCAGAUCAGCAACGCUGCGGUGAAAACGUUCCCGGGGCU